Solanum pennellii is the source of this 2582-nucleotide long non-coding RNA. RefSeq lists it as uncharacterized. The transcript is spliced from 2 exons. NCBI's taxonomy places the organism in Eukaryota, Viridiplantae, Streptophyta, Magnoliopsida, Solanales, Solanaceae. The record is from RefSeq and is a predicted model, not a curated record.
UAGAAGUCAAUCAGGGCUGCAUCCAAUUGAAAAAUUCAACCAAGAUAUGUCUCUAAUAGUAGCUGUUGCUACUCCUGAAAUAGUGUAUAGAGGUGUGGAUUAAUAAAUGAUUUUUAGCGGCCACAAGAGGAAUAAUGUUUAUCAGAAAAAAUGGAUUAACCUCGACUUUUUUUAAUGAGAGUUGCAAUAUUAUUCUUUUCCAAAAUACCUAUACAUGGGGUAGAUUAGUGGAAUAAUAUCAUUAGAUUUGCAAUAUGAUUCUUUUUCCAGUACACGUACAUAUUUAGAUUAUUGUUUCAAUUGCCUCAAAAAAAUUAUACUAUAAUGUUGAUGUCACUAUUUUUAUCUAAAAAUUCACGCCUUGUUUUGUCAAAGAUAGGUGUAAGCUAAUUUUCAAGCUAAACACGAUUCAAAUAUUUCUAUCGUUUGGGCUGCUUUCUUGUGUAAGACCCCUAAUGUUUUUUAAGCACACAUUAGAUACUCUGAUUAGAGUGUAAAGAAACAACUUGAAAUUCUUUGUGCGAGAUUAGGUAGUUCAAAGUAAUAGUAAAAUUGAAGAUUCUCUUUGUACAAGAACCAGAUGCAAGGAUGUACAUAUUAGAUGAAACUAAUGGCACUGCCAGAAAAUACCAAUUGUGUAUGGUAUAAAUUUUGAUUUCUUCCACCCUAUGCUUAUAUCCUGUUCUUUUUAUGAUCUGAAAAAUACUUGCAUAUUUUAAGGGUUGCGAAAUGUGAUGCACAGUUCAUAUGGAGUUGAAUACUUUUGUCGUUGCAAAAAUAUAUUUUAUAAGUCAAAGAGGCGACUAGAAGAUUCAAUGGAACCUUUUAAAAGCUCACUCUACAUUUCAGAGCUUUAAUAUUUAUAAGGAGAACUUUGGGCCUUUUGAAAAUUAGCAACAGGCUGAUUGUUGAGAGAAGGAAAGGGAAGGUAAGGCAAAAAAAUAAAAAUGGAAAAGGCACCUUGUCUUUGAAAACUCAAAGGUCAAGUAAGGGAAGCACAAGAUAAUUAAUGGCAAGGGCAAAAAAUAUAUAGAGAGUAAUAAAGGACAAAGAGAAGUUCUCAAGAUUCGAAGAUGCAGGAGUCAAGGAACUGUCAGGCCAAUUGAGUGCAUUUGACAAGAUGGAAUAAAUACUGAUUGUUGCAGGUAAGUUACUAAUUCAUUUGACAAAUUACAUAAAAGAGCUAAUUUCCUCUAAACUUUCCGUAGUAGCUUUAAUGGUGAUAAUUCAUGUCACCAAGACGGAUUGUCGAAGUAAAAUCCGCAUGAGGCUCAUAAAAGAUUGUUUCCUUAGUUUGUAGUUACUACUUGAAUAUGUAUGUUACUGUGUCAGUUGUGUAAGUCGUUUUGUAGGUCUGAUGUUUUAUAUGUUGUGUGAGAACUCUUUAAGUUUCAGCUAUAUGCAAUUCUUAUUUGUUUUUUGUAUUGAGUACAUUUGGUGCAAUGAGUUGCCACUGUUUACUAUGUCGAUCAUAGUAAAAUUAGCAUAUUCAUUCCAAUAUUCUUUGUUUUGAUGUAUCUAUCUAAUUUCAGUUUGUAUGAAGCUUUAGGACAUACAAAGAGAGUAAUGGUCCUAUGCGUAAACUUAUAAAAUGACAUAUUAAGAGUGCUUUUUCCUAUAUUGCAGCCUGCAAUUUUCAAUACUCAAAAAUUUUGUUAAUAGGUAGAAUUAAGUGCAGAAAAUCGAACAUAUAUUGUUAUAAUUUAUAUUUGUGACAUCGCAAAAUGUAUCCGAUAAUCCCAAUAUUUGCAAUCCCAAAAUCACUUAAAUGGUCAACGAUUUAAUUUUCAUUUGCAAACUUGUUGGUAGACUUCAAAUCAUAAUGCACCACUGGCUGUAAAUAGACAUUAUGGAGGCUAAAUUGGGUAUAUUAUUGUAUGUUUAGUGGUAGUACUUAAGUAGAACGAGUUACAUUAGAACGCAGACAUACUUAAGUAUCUAAUAGUUUUAGUUUCAUGCCUCAUUUGUUGUGCUAAGAAUUAGUAUCCAGUAAAUCAACUGCUUCAUCACUUUAAGAGGUGAACUGUUGCGAAUCACCUUUGAGAAGCGAGUGCUUUGGCAAAGCGAUGUUAAGCGUGAAUUAGUAUGGAACAUCUUUCCUUUAUAUUUUUAGCAUUUAAAAAGGUUUAUUUCUAAAAGAAAAGAAGUUUGACUUUAAAAUUUUACAUUUCACAUCUUCUCUGAUGAUUGAAUUUCAGGUAAACAUCUUUUUUAUCUUCUUCUUUUUUCUUCUACUUCUCCAUCUUGCUAUAUUUUCUUCUUCUUUCUUCUCCAGCGCUCUCUAUUCUCUGCUAGGCUUGUUUUUCUUUUCUUUCAUCUUCUACUUUCUUCAUCCUAAUUUCAAAUGUAACAUGUGAUUUUGAUCAAAGACAAUUCAGAAGAAAUUGAUCACAACAUACAAGAUGCUCUGUUAGUGUUAGAUUUAUAAAUAGUAUAUAUGUAUGUGUAAUUAGUACUUUCAUAUAUGUAAAUAUUCAACUACGUAAAUAUUCCACUACAACAUCCAACUGUAUGACGUUUGCAAAAUAUAUAGACAUUUUGCAGUUACUAUGUUUAAAAUAGUAAUAUUUUAAUUUACUUUA